GAUGAAGAACGUAGCGAAAUGCGAUAAGUAAUGUGAAUUGCAGAUUUCAGUGAAUCAUCGAAUCUUUGAACGCACCUUGCGCCUUGUGGUAUUCCACAAGGCAUGCCCGUUUGAGUAUCAUUAAAUCAUCAACUCUAAAACCUUUGUGGUUUUUUUAGAGCUUGGUCUUGAGGGUUUUGCAGGCUUUUUUUUUUUCGAGUCUGCUCCCUUUAAAUGCAUUAGCGAGACUUCCCUAUGCUGAACCGUCUCUUUGACGUGAUAAUUAUCUGCGUCGAAUUUUGGUUCUCGUUGGGCUUGCUUCUAAUCGUCUGUUAAAGACAAAACGGAUUUGGGUGCAUAUAUGCGCCUUUUUCCAAAACCUUUUUUGAUCUCAAAUCGGGUAGGACUACCCGCUGAACUUAAGCAUAUCAAUAGCGGAGGA
RNAcentral lists this unclassified non-coding RNA (421 nucleotides) under soil metagenome. RNAcentral's name for it is "partial contains 5.8S ribosomal RNA, internal transcribed spacer 2, and large subunit ribosomal RNA". The stretch from base 1 to 120 matches the Rfam family "5.8S ribosomal RNA", at positions 35 to 154 of the family's 154-position model. The record is from RNAcentral.